This 72-nucleotide transfer RNA is filed under the name Araneus ventricosus. It matches the Rfam family "tRNA". Rfam says of the family: Transfer RNA (tRNA) molecules are approximately 80 nucleotides in length. Their secondary structure includes four short double-helical elements and three loops (D, anti-codon, and T loops). The record is from Rfam by way of RNAcentral. Lineage: Eukaryota; Metazoa; Arthropoda; Arachnida; Araneae; Araneidae.
GAAUCGGUAGCGCAACGGUAGCGCGUCUGACUCCAGAUCAGAAGGCUGCGUGUUCAAAUCACGUCCGGUUCA